GGAUUUGUGGUGCGAAUUUCGUUUACUACGUGAAGGAAAAAUCGAGUUGAUGUCUCCCUCCACUAGAGGAAAAACAGCAGGAAGCACUAUGCAUCGUUGAUCUUGACGUCGUCUAAAGGAGAAACUACUGGAUCAUCUGAGAUGGAGGGAGAGAAGUACGUGCAACUGGGGUGAAAGCAGCCGACUGCUGAUGGCAAAUAUGACCCCAAGGACCACGAUGGCAUGGACAUGGGACAUGGAUGGGUAGCUUCUGGAUGAAGAAGAAGACAAUGAUGUGCUACAGGAGGAGAUAAUCUUCCAUCAUCCUGAGCUGGGAAUCUCCCCACCAACAUUAACCCUCUAUACCAGUGUUUCCCAACCUGGGGGGCGCGACCCCGUUGGGGGGGGCACUAGAGAGUCCGGGGGGUGCGCGAAGCUUCAUCGUGAAACAGGUGCAUGGUAAGAUGCAAAACACAGUACUACAUCGUCACAAAGCUCCAAUCAGACUUCCAUCUGUCUUCUGUUCAUAGUCUGAACUGCCUUUGAUGGACUAAACUAGGGGAAGCAGUGCACUUAAUCAAUUUGCAAACAUAUCUCAGUAAUGGUGUUCAUUACUAUGAGCCAUCACCCACCCAUUUAACAUAAUAUGUUAAAUUAUAUUAUUAACAAUAGUCAGUCUUUACAGCGAAAUUCUUUGCCUCAUGAACAAUAUUGAUUGAAACCAAUCGUUUUAUUAAGUAUUGCUAUCCAAAAGUAGCAAGGAUGUCUGGGAAAUAUUGUUGUCAAAGAUUCCAAAGCCCACCCACCUUACAUGGAUCGACUGUCUGUUUCCCAUCACCGUUGUUUAAAAGCAAAGCAUAGGCCUAAUAGCUAUGAAAACCUCAAAAUCCCACAAUCAUAACCAUAACCAUCAUUUUUAUCUGUAUCAGCCUCCCGCCACCAGACAGCAUCUGUUCGCAGAUUUGUGCGAGGAUGAGGCGCAUCAAACACUCCUCCUGCACACAGAUGUGCGCUGGCUUUCACGGGGCCGAGUGCUGAUGCGUUUUGUGGAAUUGGGUGAAAAAGUAGCUGAAUUUCUCAACUCACAGCCCAGCACUGUCAGAGAAAGUAACUGAAUCAUUCUGGAUUAAAACAGCAUACCUAGCCGAUAUCUUCAGUCUGUACAAUCAAUGAAACAAACAAGCGUCUCCAAGGCGCGGAGUCUAACAUCAUACCAUGUAAGGAGGGUAUAGGGUCGGGAAGGUGGAAAAGGGAGAGCUACAACAGUUCCCACUACUGCUGAAACAAUGCAGAAAUGAUCCUGAAACGAUCCCUGUAUCUGUCCGUCGUGAAUUUACCAGACACAUGAACGCAUUGCAAAAUGAGAUUAAAUCACGGUUUGCUGACACAGAUGAAUACGUAUCGAAAGAAUCGUGGGUGUUGGAUCCCUUUAUUGCAAAAGUCGAGGAUGUGCAAUACCUUGAUUGUGAAGAUGAGCUCACAUAUCCAGGCCAACACUCUGUCAAAGAAAUAUUUCCAGGUAGGCCUAUAAUAUUGCAUUCAAUAUUGUAUCACUGUUAGCAAUACGCCUCUGUGCUCGCACUAAUUGGAAUGUUGGACAUAAUUAAGCAUAAUUCAAUUCAUUCUUUCUUUAAUUCAUUCAAGGAACACGGAUUUAAAAAGUUUUGGAUCGUGAAGGCACCCAGCAUUGCUCCAAGGUUGGGAUCCACUGCUCUAUACCCCAAUAGAAU
Molecule: long non-coding RNA, 1709 nt
Organism: Alosa sapidissima (American shad)
Lineage: Eukaryota; Metazoa; Chordata; Actinopteri; Clupeiformes; Clupeidae
Exons: 3
Source: RefSeq, a predicted model, not a curated record